Molecule: unclassified non-coding RNA, 152 nt
Filed under: Vibrio tapetis subsp. tapetis
Lineage: Bacteria; Pseudomonadati; Pseudomonadota; Gammaproteobacteria; Vibrionales; Vibrionaceae
Description: sau-50
Source: RNAcentral
UAAAUGCAGGUACUUGCGCUUCAGCGAUUUGGAUUUCUUCGCCAGUCUUAGGGUUACGACCUGUGCGAGCUGCACGAGUACGAACACUGAAAGUACCGAAGCCAACUAAAGCCACUUGAUCACCAGAUUGUAAAGUGUCGCUCACUGAGUCA